CGGACGGGUGAGUAAUGUAUAGGAACUUGCCUAGUAGUGGGGGACAACGCGCGGAAACGCACGCUAAUACCGCAUACGCUCUACGGAGGAAAGCGGGGGCUCUUCGGACCUCGUGCUACUAGAUAGGCCUAUAUUGGAUUAGCUAGUUGGUAAGGUAAAGGCUUACCAAGGCGACGAUCCAUAGCUGGUUUGAGAGAAUGAUCAGCCACACUGGGACUGAGACACGGCCCAG
Molecule: ribosomal RNA, 232 nt
Filed under: uncultured bacterium
Lineage: Bacteria
Description: partial 16S ribosomal RNA
Rfam family: Bacterial small subunit ribosomal RNA
Source: RNAcentral